RNAcentral lists this long non-coding RNA (2518 nucleotides) under Triticum aestivum (bread wheat). RNAcentral's name for it is "long non-coding RNA (TAES_LNC019905)". Lineage: Eukaryota; Viridiplantae; Streptophyta; Magnoliopsida; Poales; Poaceae. The record is from RNAcentral.
UUUCUUCUCUAGCCUGACCCUAACACACUAUUCUAGCUAGACAUGGGUCUGGCUUGUAACACCUAUUGACCAAACGGAUCUACGGCACCAUCGAAUCUCAAACUUUAACUGCCAAAACUAUUGUUUUUCAUCCUGUAGUCCCUUUUAGAAUUACUAAACGUCCUUUUUUGGGCUGAGAUUUCCAGGAACGCUUACGCGCGGUUUGUGUGCAAGUAUUUCAAAUCAUACGGACCUAAAAAUUAGAAGUCAUUCCAUCUUUAUUCCCCUAGAGCCUUCCAGCAGUUCCUAAACCGCUCCAGUCGGAGCAUGUUAUCAUUCUUGUUAGUUCUGAGUGAAUUCCCUCGGUAUGAUCAUCCUUACAUCACUUUGUUCCCCGUUUCUUUUCUAGCCUGAGCCUAACACACUAUUCUAGCUAGACAUGGGUGUGGCUCGUAACACCUGAUGACCAAACGGAUCUAUGGCACCAUCAAAUCUCAAACUUUAACUGCCAAAACUAUUGUUUUUCAUUCUGUAGUCCCUUUUAGAAUUACUAAACGUCCUUUUUUGGGCCGAGAUUUCCAGGAACGCUUUCUCGGGGUUUGUGUGCAUGUAUUUCAAAUCAUACGGACCUAAAAAUUGAAAGUCAUUCCAUCUUUAUUCCCCUAGAGCCUUCCAGCAGUUCCUAAACCGCUCCAGUCGGAGCACGUUAUCAUUCUUGUUAGUUCUGAGUGAAUUCCCUCGGUAUGAUCAUUCUUUCAUCAGUUUGUUCCCCGUUUCUUCUCUAGUCUGAGCCUAGCACAUUACUCUAGCUGGACAUGGGUGUGGCUCGUUACACCUGAUGACCAAACGGAUCUACGGCAUUAUCGAAUCUCAAACUUUAACUGCCAGAACUAUUGUUUUUCACCCUGUAGUCCCUUUUAGAAUUACUAAACGUCGUUUUUUGGGCUGAGAUUUCGAGGAACGCUUUCUCGCGGUUUGUGUGCAAGUAUUUCAAAUCAUACAGACCUAAAAAUUUGAAGUCAUUCCAUCUUUAUUCCCCUAGAGCCUUCCAGAAGUUCCUAAACCGCUCCAGUCGGAGCACGUUAUCAUUCUUGUUAGUUCUGAGUGAAUUCCCUCGGUAUGAUCAUUCUUUCAUCACUUUGUUCCCUUUUUCUUCUCUAGUCUGAGCCUAGCACACUACUCUAGCUAGACAUGGGUGUGGCUCGUUACACCUGAUGACCAAACGGAUCUACGGCACCGUCGAAUCUCAAACUUUAACUGCCAAAACUAUUGUUUUUCAUCAUGUAGUCCCUUUUAGAAUUACUAAAUGUCCUUUUUUGGGCUGAGAAUUCCAGGAUCACUUUUGCGCGGUUUGUGUGCAAGUAUUUCAAAUCAUACGGACCUAAAAAUUUGAAGUCAUUCCAUCUUUAUUCCCCUAGAGCCUUCCAGCAGUUUCUAAACUGCUCCAGUCGGAGCACGUUAUCAUUCUUGUUAGUUCUGAGUGAAUUCCCUCGGUAUGAUCAUUCUUUCAUCAGUUUGUUCCCCGUUUCUUCUCUAGCCUGAGCCUAACACACUAUUCUAGCUAGACAUGGGUGUGGCUCGUAACACCUGAUGACCAAACGGAUCUACGGCACCGUCGAAUCUCAAAUUUUAACUGCCCAAACUAUUAUUUUUCAUCCUGUAGUCCCUUUUAGAAUUACUAAACGUCCUUUUUUAGGCUGAGAUUUCCAGGAACGCUUUCGCGUGGUUUGAGUGCCAGUAUUUCAAAUCAUACGGACGUAAAAAUUAGAAGUCAUUCCAUCUUUAUUCCCCUAGAGCCUUCCAGCAGUUCCUAAACCGCUCCAGUCGGAGCACGUUAUCAUUCUUGUUGGUUCUGAGUGAAUUCCCUUGGUAUGAUCAUACUUUCAUCAGUUCGUUCCCCAUUUCUUCUCUAACCUGAGCCUAACAUACUAGUGUAGCUAGACAUGGGUGUGGCUCGUAACACCUGAUGACCAAACGGAUCUACGGCAACGUCGAAUCUCAAACUUUAACUGCCAAAACUAUUGUUUUUCAUCCUAUAGUCCCUUUUAGAAUUACUAAACAUCCUUUUUUGGGCUGAGAUUUCUAGGAACGCUGUCGCGCGGUUUGUGUGCAAGUAUUUCAAAUCAUACAGACCUAAAAAUUUGAAGUCAUUCCAUCUUUAUUCGCCUAGAGCCUUCCAGAAGUUCCUAAACUGCUCCAGUCGGAGCACGUUAUCAUUCUUGUUAGUUCUGAGUGAAUUCCCUCGGUUUGAUCACUCUUUCAUCAGUUUGUUCCCUGUUUCUUCUCUAGUCUGAGCCUAGCACACUAUUCUAGCUAGACAUGGGUGUGGCUCGUAACACUUGAUGACCAAACGGAUCUACGGCACCGUCGAAUCUCAAACUUUAACUGCCAAAACUAUUGUUUUUCAUCCUGUAGUCCCUUUUAGAAUUACUAAACAUCCUUUUUUGGGCUGAGAUUUCCAGGAACGCUUUCGCGCGGUUUGUGUGCAAGUAUUUCAAAUCAUACGGUCCUAAAAAUUAGAAGUCAUUCCAUCUUUAUU